This 55-nucleotide transfer RNA is filed under the name Calotes htunwini. RNAcentral describes it as "tRNA-Cys". The record is from RNAcentral. Lineage: Eukaryota; Metazoa; Chordata; Lepidosauria; Squamata; Agamidae.
CGGCCCAGAAAUUACCAAACUGCAAAUUUGGAGAAGAAUUUCGGUUCCUGGGUCU